AGAACCGAGAACAGCAGCUGUCCCAGCGGAUGGGAAGGCAGUGUGGUAGAAAUUAUUAGAAGAAAAUGUUGAAAAAAGACAGGAAAGGCGGGAGAAAACGGAAUAAGGUGUUUACAUCACAAGUGAAGUAGAGAGAUAAGUGCUGUUUUCCUAUGAAAUACAGGUGCGGGGAAGUGGAAUCCCUAGUUUUCUGCUGCAGGGGUCGAAGAUUCAUCUUUUAGAAACCAAAUGGCCCAGGGCAAAGUUGAGCACGUUAUGACCAUAUGAUAUACAUCUCAAAAGAGCACAAAAUAAAAAGCAUGUUCGCAUAUCCUGCAUUUGCCUCUAAAAGUGCUUCGGAUACCCACAAAAUUACCUACAGAUCGCUCCCAAAUGUUUAAUAUUUUAUACACUGAAAGAACUCUGACCUGUUUGAAACCACAUACAAUCAGGAAUUAGUUGGGAUGGGGCACGCUAUGGAUUACCUUACGUCAAUAAAUUCAACACAUACUCAAGGGGAGAGGAUGGCACAAGAGCAUGAAUACCAGUAUACUGGAUCCUUGGGGGCAAUAUCAGAGGACGCCUACCACAAAGAUACUGUUCUAUAAUUGCCUGCUUACAUAGAACCUGCUUACUUCUUUGUUUCUCCCUUUCAGUUGUAUGCUCUGUAGAAACAAGGGCUGCCUCUGUUUUGCUCACUAUUGUAACAAAUGUGGUACCUCAUACGUAGUCAGUAAAUGUUUGCUUAAUAAAUGAACAGGUUAAGUGAUAGAUUUUAAAAGUAGAUAUUAUGAGUCUCAUACAUGUGAACACCUAUCAAAUCUUUUAUUUAACUCAUUAAUUAAUGAGAGAAGAAGUGAGAUAUAAACCACUCAAAUGAAAACUCAAAAUACCAAAUAUUUAUUGUCAGAUAAGGAAUACUGACAUGAUUUUUACUAAUGGGUGAAAAUUGGCAAAACAGGUUCAUAUUCACAGGGCAAUAAUCAGUGGAUACACUGGACAAAAUUUGCAUUUCUAAGGAAAAAAUUAUUCUCAUUACUAACGGUUUUCAACAGUUAAUGUAUACCUCUAAGUGUUGUAAAAUAAUAUAGUCAAAAGCAAAGGCAGAGAUAACCUGUAUUGAUGAACUAGACAGUGUGCUCACUAAAUUUCACAAUCUUCCAAAAUUUUUUCUUGCAAAUGAAUGGUACAGACUGGGUGAAAAUGCACCCCAGGAUAAGGCCAAGCAAGAGAACAGUCUUAACUCUUUUCUUUUCAAAUUCAUAUAAACAGUUAGGACACUUAAUUGGGAACUUAAGGUUCUUGAUUAUUAGGGAACAGGACUUUCUAAAUAUGUUGAAGUAUCUCAGAUGGAUCUCCAUACCUUUACCAUAUGUUACUGCUCCCUUACACAUGGUUUUGACCUUGUGUAAUAGAGAGUAUCUCUGGCAAAAAAGUAAAACCAAACCAUCCCAAUGCUCCAGGGGGUGAUAGAGUCUUGUAGGUAGAUUCCAAGAUCCCAAGGCUUAUGAGAUCCGGGGUUCUAUCAGCAAUUGUCAAACCCAGGCAGACCAGCCACAUCAACAUUUUCCUAGGUGGGGAUAAGGAUAACGUCCUGGUCAAAUUUUGACUCUUGCUCUCUAUCCUAGAUAUAUUGAAUCAAAAUAUGCUGAAGUGAGGCCUGGAUAAUCUUAUUUUUAAAGUACUCCUCAGAUAAUUCCCUGUGGCCAAUUUUAUUACCCACUAGUCUAGAUCAUUUCUCACUGAAGGCAUUCAUAGUGUUGUGGCUAUGAGCAAAUUGCAUCUGAAGAGUUUAUGGAGGCCUCUUUGUCUACCAUGAAGAGGUUACAGGUGGCUUUCUCUUUUAGUGUCUCCUGGUGAAUCCAGGGAUAAAGGUUUCUCCCCUGCUAGGUCAUUAAUAAAGAAAGCUAAACUUUGAGAAAACACACACCAUGCUAUACCUUAGCUGUAAAAUCAUUACAGAAAAAAAAAAAGCAAGAAGCACAAACACAAUCUCUUCCUAUAUCCUCAAACCAUAGACCAUGGUGUUAUAGAAUUACCUAAUUUCCAUAGCCUCAAUAAAAAACCUUUUCAGGGACGGUUUCAACAGAUAUUUGCACAGUGACCUUCUGGGUCCUACUGGAAUAAGAGAAAUAUAAUUUGUACAUUUUUCCUACCAUGCAAAUUUUGCUGAAUCAUUUCGCUACAUUUGAAAAGCUACAACUAUUUGAAAUUCAAAUGCACAUUUACCAUCUGUGGUUUUCAUUAACAUUAUAAUAGCAUCAUGAUUUCAGAUACUUCUGUUGAUGAAUAUUAGUUUUCUUAAGACUUAUACUCACUAGUUUUAAUUUUGUAGUCCAUAAAGUGUAACAGGUAAUCUGAUUUAUUAUAUAUAAAUCAUAGAGUGAGAAGAGAUGUUAGAAAUGACUAAUUCCAAUAUCCCUAUUUGAUGAGAGAGGAAAACAAGACUCAGAAAGGAGAACUAUUAUAGGCUGAAUUGUGUCCCCAAAAUUCAUAUGUUGCAAUCCUAACUCCCAGUA
This is a long non-coding RNA of Equus quagga, 2498 nucleotides long. RefSeq lists it as uncharacterized. The record is from RefSeq and is a predicted model, not a curated record. The transcript has 4 exons. NCBI's taxonomy places the organism in Eukaryota, Metazoa, Chordata, Mammalia, Perissodactyla, Equidae.